Molecule: long non-coding RNA, 450 nt
Organism: Acinonyx jubatus (cheetah)
Lineage: Eukaryota; Metazoa; Chordata; Mammalia; Carnivora; Felidae
Exons: 3
Source: RefSeq, a predicted model, not a curated record
ACUGAGUUAGAUAUUAAGGCUCCUUAAAGCUCCAGAGAAAUGCAAUCCAGCCUCACAACAUUUCUUCGUACCAGCAGAUCCCCCCCCCUGAGUGUGGCAAAUGCAGUCACACGGGCAUAUGGCGCUUCAGAGAAUCCAAGAGAAUGGAUUUCCAAGCAAGAUACAUUUCAGGUUCGGCACACCGGCAAGUUGAACAAACUCACAGAGACGCAUACUGAUUUUAGGAGGAAAAGCUGGACAAGCAUCUUAACUGCCUUUAUUUGAGACAAUGCAGUGGUCAUGCCUCUCUUAAUCAUGGAAGUUCCGCAGGAACCAUCAGCUCUCACAAGAGCAUUUCAGUAUUACACAGUCAGAACCUGGUUCAACAGCUUCUCAAGUCAAAAACUGAGAGGUAAAGGCAAAACUGCAAUGUCUGUAAGAAUGUGUUCUGUGGGAGAAGCUGGUCACCCC